AUGAACGCUGGCGGCGUGCCUAAUACAUGCAAGUCGAGCGAACGGACGAGAAGCUUGCUUCUCUGAUGUUAGCGGCGGACGGGUGAGUAACACGUGGAUAACCUACCUAUAAGACUGGGAUAACUUCGGGAAACCGGAGCUAAUACCGGAUAAUAUUUUGAACCGCAUGGUUCAAAAGUGAAAGACGGUCUUGCUGUCACUUAUAGAUGGAUCCGCGCUGCAUUAGCUAGUUGGUAAGGUAACGGCUUACCAAGGCAACGAUGCAUAGCCGACCUGAGAGGGUGAUCGGCCACACUGGAACUGAGACACGGUCCAGACUCCUACGGGAGGCAGCAGUAGGGAAUCUUCCGCAAUGGGCGAAAGCCUGACGGAGCAACGCCGCGUGAGUGAUGAAGGUCUUCGGAUCGUAAAACUCUGUUAUUAGGGAAGAACAUAUGUGUAAGUAACUGUGCACAUCCUGACGGUACCUAAUCAGAAAGCCACGGCUAACUACGUG
Molecule: ribosomal RNA, 496 nt
Filed under: uncultured bacterium
Lineage: Bacteria
Description: partial 16S ribosomal RNA
Rfam family: Bacterial small subunit ribosomal RNA
Source: RNAcentral